RNAcentral lists this ribosomal RNA (270 nucleotides) under Serratia odorifera. RNAcentral describes it as "partial 16S ribosomal RNA". It matches the Rfam family "Bacterial small subunit ribosomal RNA", at positions 1188 to 1457 of the family's 1533-position model. The record is from RNAcentral. Lineage: Bacteria; Pseudomonadati; Pseudomonadota; Gammaproteobacteria; Enterobacterales; Yersiniaceae.
AGUCAUCAUGGCCCUUACGAGUAGGGCUACACACGUGCUACAAUGGCGUAUACAAAGAGAAGCGAACUUGCGAGAGUAAGCGGACCUCAUAAAGUACGUCGUAGUCCGGAUUGGAGUCUGCAACUCGACUCCAUGAAGUCGGAAUCGCUAGUAAUCGUAGAUCAGAAUGCUACGGUGAAUACGUUCCCGGGCCUUGUACACACCGCCCGUCACACCAUGGGAGUGGGUUGCAAAAGAAGUAGGUAGCUUAACCUUCGGGAGGGCGCUACC